UCCUUCCCAACAACCCGGCAGUUGCUGUUAUCUCCUCCUCUUUCCAGAGCCUACGGUUCUAGUUCGCCCAAAUGGGCAGCCUUCUGGCUUGACAAUAAAGAACAGUAGAAGCCGGACGGUGGUGGCGCAUGCCUUUAAUCCCAGCACUCGGGAGGCAGAGCCAGGCAGAUCUCUGUGAGUUCAAGGCCAGCCUGGUCUACAAAGGGAGAAAGCCGUUCGCUAGGAAAAUUAAGGAACUUGCCCCGAGACCACCUAACCCUUUAGAGGAAAUGUCAACGUUGCAAUCCAGCCUCCCACCCCUACGUGGCGCUGUUUCACUAUGCUCAUGAUGAUUGUCUUCGGAAUCUGUGUGCAGACCCAGGCACUCCUAGCGAUUUACAUUCCCAACCACCUGAAACCCAUUGAUUAAAAAGGCAGACUACCAAGCUCAAGUCCACACAGUCUCAACUGCCUGUAGAAGAAAACAAAGGGAAAUGGUUGUUGUUUCUGGCCACUGAGAUGAUUACUAUGAAUAAUAUUGUUAAUGAUCCAUCCUAGCAACGACUUUAUGUUGAUCAAAUUGUGAGUCAGCUUCUGUGUUGCUAAGCGACUGUGACAUUUUGUAAAACCCUUUGGGAAAAUA
Molecule: long non-coding RNA, 622 nt
Organism: Peromyscus eremicus (cactus mouse)
Lineage: Eukaryota; Metazoa; Chordata; Mammalia; Rodentia; Cricetidae
Exons: 2
Source: RefSeq, a predicted model, not a curated record